Rattus norvegicus (Norway rat) is the source of this 139-nucleotide small nuclear RNA. Ensembl annotates it as U4 spliceosomal RNA. The record is from Ensembl. Lineage: Eukaryota; Metazoa; Chordata; Mammalia; Rodentia; Muridae.
AGCUUUGCGCAGUGGCAGUAUCGUAGCCAAUGAGGUUUAUUCAAGGUGCCAUUACUGCUAAUUGAAAACUAUUAUUAUCAGAAGAAAACAGGUUAGAUAACCUACUUAAAUUAACAUGCCUUGUCCUGCAAACAGCUGC